RNAcentral lists this long non-coding RNA (2075 nucleotides) under Oncorhynchus kisutch (coho salmon). RNAcentral's name for it is "lncRNA (ENSOKIG00005026337.1)". Lineage: Eukaryota; Metazoa; Chordata; Actinopteri; Salmoniformes; Salmonidae. The record is from RNAcentral.
CCGACAGACAUAAUAUCAAAGAAGAAGACCCCGUACUGUAGGUGGCCGCAAUAUGGAAUGUUUUUUUUCUUUUUUCUUAUUCAAUACCCCGUCCAGAUGGUGACGGUAAUGCACCAUUAACAUUGGAUGCCAACCGCCGUUAAACCCCAUCGAAGAAGAAGAAGUGGCGGCGGCAAUACACCAGUCGGUGUAGUCUGCCAUAAAACUUUGAAGGAGAAGAAGAAGAAGAGCACUCCUCAGGGUGUAUAGUUAUUUUCUUUUAAUGUUUUAUCAAGACAAGCAAGUUGAAAAUGACCUUUGCCUUUCCUCUACGAAUGAAUGUUUUUAUAGAUGAAGACCUAGACAAAAAUUUUGAAUAGCUACCUGAAUGGAAACUUAAUUGUUGAAUAAAUGAGACUGACGUCUUGAAAAGAUAGAACAUGUACCUGUUGCGCUUCUCUAUUGCCAUCAUUCUUGGGUUUGUGUGGUAUUUAUUUGACCGCGGACAAGUAGCGGCUCAAAUAGCUUUAUGUUUACUAUUUUGGCAAUCAACCCCAAAUAUUUUAAUAAAGACCAGACGGGAAAGCGGAACUCAGACAGACGAUGUGGCUGAAGAACAUUUAUUCCAGGAAACCACCAACCAUUUAGGUUGCGAUGUGACUGAUACAACAAGCACUAAAGCUGAAACAUCACAGGAGACACAGUUUCCCCAUGUGAAGAGAUCUCUUCAGCAAGUGUUUGACUGUGCCUACGCCCAGCUAGUCCUCCCCUGGUACAGCGUCCCCGAACCCUGUGACAGUCAGCUCCUGCACCAGGUGCUGUGGAAGGAGUUUGACCAAGUCAUCGAUCAAGUCAUCAGCAGAGGCAAAGACUUUGAUGUCUGUGCUGCAAGUGUGGGCUGCAUUCGCAUCCUGACCCAGCACCUCCAUAAUGCCAAACAGUCUCAUAGAAAACCAUUGUUCCGCUCUAGAGGAGAGGAGGUUGAAGUUCUCAGAGUGUUCUCUGAAGCACUGGUGCGAAACCUUUUACCCCAGUCCCUAUGGGGACUGGCAGUCAGCCACUGUGCCUUAAAUGAGAUAGUUGCCUUAAAAGUACUGGACCUGCUGGUGCGUUGGCUCUCAGACCCUGACAACCUCAACCAGCUGGUGGUGAGUCAGCUGGAUGGAGCGACCCGUAAAAGCUCUGUGGCGGAGCUGUGUGAGUCCCACUCUGACAGGGCCUCUCCAGCCUCCCUGGAGAGCCAGGCCAGUGGAGCGACUCAGGAAGAAACAGAGGAUGCGCAAACCAGUGACAGCAAGUCCAAAAAGAAAGCUAACAAAUUGAAGGAAGGCUGGUCUAAAUUCCUUGACAAGAUGAGAUUGAAGAAUGCUAAAAGGGAGAAGAUGAAGAAAAGGGAGCAGGCGCUGGUUGUCACGGCCAUGUCUAUCCAGGGUCGUCCAUCAAACAAAACUGAAGGGAGUAGCCGGGAGGGCUCCAUCCGGAACCAGCAGGACUCUGACAGUGAGGACAGUGAUCUGGAGAGCUACUGGAACAGUGUACACGAGGAUAUGAUGGAAUUCAAUCUGUCGUAUGAGCUGUGGCGGGUUGGCCACUGGGCUGUCAGCGUCCCUUGUGUGGAGAGGGAAAACGAGGAACUGUGUUUUACAGUUCACCUGGAGGAGAGGGACAACCCUGAAAACCUUCACUGGAACGUGAGGAAGACUCAAACAGACAUCAUCCACUUCCGCAACCUAUGGCAGGACUCUGCUACUUUACCCUCCCUAUCCAUGUUAGAAGAGAACACUGAGGUGAACAUCAGUGAGGAUUUUAAAGAAGCCAAAAAGUCCAUCAAGCACUUCUUACAGGAGCUGGUGUCUGAUGAUCUAGUGGGCCACACUCAGCCAGUGUUUCAGUUUCUGUGUCCUCUGGACAAGCUUCUGGUUGAAGAGGAUCAUGUGGGGGAAGUGUGGGGCCUCUUCAGUGGCCUGGCCUACUUCCUGACUCCGGGCCAAGAGGAAGAUGAGAUGCUGCUUUCAUUCCUGUUGAGAGAGCUUCUGCCAGGUGAGGAUGCCCUUAAUGUGAGUGCCAUAACCCAGCAGAAAGUGAACGUCAACUAA